This is a long non-coding RNA of Nerophis ophidion (straightnose pipefish), 1372 nucleotides long. RefSeq lists it as uncharacterized. Lineage: Eukaryota; Metazoa; Chordata; Actinopteri; Syngnathiformes; Syngnathidae. The record is from RefSeq and is a predicted model, not a curated record. The transcript has 8 exons.
AUACAAUGCCGCACAAUAAUUGCUUUAAAUGUGCCUGAAAUGUAGGUUUUUGCAUAAAAAAAAACAACCUUCAACCUUGAUUGAGACAAAGGCAAUAAUUCAAAUGCAAUUCAAACUACACACAGUAUUUAAUGUUUUCAAAUGGUUACAAUAGCACAUUAUUUGGGUAUUUUUAUCUUUGGGGCAAAUUUAGGAUUAAUAUGGGGAUUGUUUUUGGAGGUAUUCACUUUACAUGGUGUUCAAGAUGGUUACUUCCGCCCACUCUGAAGAGUCUCGGCGUCUGAUUGGUCCAAUUUUCAGUUAGGCGCCGCCUGAUUGGCCGCUGGACGAUGUCUGCUCCUAACAGAGGGCUAAAUCACUAGUGAACUAUUUUCAUCAUGGAAGUUAUACAGCUCAUGUAUCACACUUAAUAUUGAAUAUAUUUAUAAAAAGGGUUUUCCAAAAGGACCAUUUAUAAUCGAAAUACACAACUUCACACACGAUUUUGAGCACAACAGAGCGCUCAGUGAACAGCACUUCCGGGACCUGCAUCACCAGAGGGGGACAUCUAUCUUGGCCACAAACCAUCUUUGACAGUCUUCAGCAGCAUGGUUGAAUCAGGCGCAUCAACACAUGAUAUAGACAUCGUGCCCAAAAGAAGAGCGAGACGUAAUCCUGAGGCUGAAGCCACCGAGUUUAUUUGAUCUGGAUGUGACAAGUCUUGUUUUAAGGCCCAGUGGAUCAAUGAUUGGAAAGACACCAACUGUUGAUGUUCUAUCUCAACAUUCUCCAGAUUCAUGUGAGCGAUAAACCGACUUCAUCCCUCCAACAGACACCAACUGUUGGGGUUCUAUCUCAACAUUCUCCAGAUUCAGAUGUGAGCGAUAAACCGACUUCAUCCCUCCAACAGAAACCAACUGUUGAGGUUCCAUCUCAACAUUCUCCAGAUUCAGAUGUGAGCCAUUAACUGACUUCAUCCCUCCAACAGAAACCAACUGUUUGAGGUUCUAUCUCAACAUUCUCUAGAUUCAGAUGACAGCCAUAAACCGACUUCAUCCCUCCAACAGAUUGACAGCAGGACAAAUCGCUGGAAGUAGGUAUGUCUCAAGCUUCUUCCACUUGGUCCACUCCAAAGCGGGCUGCAAAGGGGAAGAAGUGGAAGGAGUUGAAUGACACAUGUUGCAUUUUGUAACUGGCAACAAAGUACCAGGUAAAAAAGAUUGUGAAGCCUGCCUCCAUAAAGAACUAGUAGCUCUACAGGACAGAGAUUGGCUUGCCAUCAAGUACUACAUCCAUAACAGAAUUAUAUUAAAAAAAGGGAAAAAAAAUGUUUUCCCACAUCUUCUGUGGUAGUUUGAGUAUGUUACCAGCAAUUAAAAAAGCAAAAUAAACA